RNAcentral lists this ribosomal RNA (1372 nucleotides) under uncultured bacterium. RNAcentral's name for it is "bacterial SSU rRNA". It matches the Rfam family "Bacterial small subunit ribosomal RNA", at positions 28 to 1381 of the family's 1533-position model. The record is from RNAcentral.
GAUGAACGCUGGUUGCGUGCCUAAUACAUGCAAGUCGAGCGAACGGACGAGAAGCUUGCUUCUCUGAUGUUAGCGGCGGACGGGUGAGUAACACGUGGAUAACCUACCUAUAAGACUGGGAUAACUUCGGGAAACCGGAGCUAAUACCGGAUAAUAUUUUGAACCGCAUGGUUCAAAAGUGAAAGACGGUCUUGCUGUCACUUAUAGAUGGAUCCGCGCUGCAUUAGCUAGUUGGUAAGGUAACGGCUUACCAAGGCAACGAUGCAUAGCCGACCUGAGAGGGUGAUCGGCCACACUGGAACUGAGACACGGUCCAGACUCCUACGGGAGGCAGCAGUAGGGAAUCUUCCGCAAUGGGCGAAAGCCUGACGGAGCAACGCCGCGUGAGUGAUGAAGGUCUUCGGAUCGUAAAACUCUGUUAUUAGGGAAGAACAUAUGUGUAAGUAACUGUGCACAUCUUGACGGUACCUAAUCAGAAAGCCACGGCUAACUACGUGCCAGCAGCCGCGGUAAUACGUAGGUGGCAAGCGUUAUCCGGAAUUAUUGGGCGUAAAGCGCGCGUAGGCGGUUUUUUAAGUCUGAUGUGAAAGCCCACGGCUCAACCGUGGAGGGUCAUUGGAAACUGGAAAACUUGAGUGCAGAAGAGGAAAGUGGAAUUCCAUGUGUAGCGGUGAAAUGCGCAGAGAUAUGGAGGAACACCAGUGGCGAAGGCGACUUUCUGGUCUGUAACUGACGCUGAUGUGCGAAAGCGUGGGGAUCAAACAGGAUUAGAUACCCUGGUAGUCCACGCCGUAAACGAUGAGUGCUAAGUGUUAGGGGGUUUCCGCCCCUUAGUGCUGCAGCUAACGCAUUAAGCACUCCGCCUGGGGAGUACGACCGCAAGGUUGAAACUCAAAGGAAUUGACGGGGACCCGCACAAGCGGUGGAGCAUGUGGUUUAAUUCGAAGCAACGCGAAGAACCUUACCAAAUCUUGACAUCCUUUGACAACUCUAGAGAUAGAGCCUUCCCCUUCGGGGGACAAAGUGACAGGUGGUGCAUGGGUGUCGUCAGCUCGUGUCGUGAGAUGUUGGGUUAAGUCCCGCAACGAGCGCAACCCUUAAGCUUAGUUGCCAUCAUUAAGUUGGGCACUCUAAGUUGACUGCCGGUGACAAACCGGAGGAAGGUGGGGAUGACGUCAAAUCAUCAUGCCCCUUAUGAUUUGGGCUACACACGUGCUACAAUGGACAAUACAAAGGGCAGCGAAACCGCGAGGUCAAGCAAAUCCCAUAAAGUUGUUCUCAGUUCGGAUUGUAGUCUGCAACUCGACUGCAUGAAGCUGGAAUCGCUAGUAAUCGUAGAUCAGCAUGCUACGGUGAAUACGUUCCCGGGUCU